AGGGGGAUAACUACUGGAAACGGUAGCUAAUACCGCAUAACGUCUACGGACCAAAGUGGGGGACCUUCGGGCCUCACACCAUCGGAUGUGCCCAGAUGGGAUUAGCUAGUAGGUGGGGUAACGGCUCACCUAGGCGACGAUCCCUAGCUGGUCUGAGAGGAUGACCAGCCACACUGGAACUGAGACACGGUCCAGACUCCUACGGGAGGCAGCAGUGGGGAAUAUUGCACAAUGGGCGCAAGCCUGAUGCAGCCAUGCCGCGUGUAUGAAGAAGGCCUUCGGGUUGUAAAGUACUUUCAGCGGGGAGGAAGGGUUGCUGGUUAAUAACCAGUGACAUUGACGUUACCCGCAGAAGAAGCACCGGCUAACUCCGUGCCAGCAGCCGCGGUAAUACGGAGGGUGCAAGCGUUAAUCGGAAUUACUGGGCGUAAAGCGCACGCAGGCGGUCUGUCAAGUCAGAUGUGAAAUCCCCGGGCUUAACCUGGGAACUGCAUUUGAAACUGGCAGGCUAGAGUCUUGUAGAGGGGGGUAGAAUUCCAGGUGUAGCGGUGAAAUGCGUA
RNAcentral lists this ribosomal RNA (560 nucleotides) under Erwinia sp. R12-2. RNAcentral describes it as "bacterial SSU rRNA". It matches the Rfam family "Bacterial small subunit ribosomal RNA", at positions 137 to 692 of the family's 1533-position model. The record is from RNAcentral. Lineage: Bacteria; Pseudomonadati; Pseudomonadota; Gammaproteobacteria; Enterobacterales; Erwiniaceae.